AGAUUUUCUUUGUAAUAAUGAUAAGUACAAGAAGAUUAACUUUUAAAAAAUUAAAUUCUGCAGAAUUGCUGUUGUCCCUCUCAUGAGAACUCUGAGCUAGUAUCAUGUAGUUCUAUGAUAAAAGAGGCAGGCUAACAGAAACACAGAAAUUUGUCUCAAUGCCAUGCUCUCGUUCAUAAAGAAAAGGAAGAGGAAGAUUCAGAGGAGUCAAGACAACAGGAUUUAGAAGAUGGAGAGAAGUCUGACAUUUCCAAAGAUCCUGAAACAGAGAAGCCAAAUGAGUUCUCAACAGAAGGAAAGGAAGAAUUGGAGAAAGAGAGUACUGAGGGGACUAUACUUGGUGACAACUUAAGCCAGCCAGACUUGGCAGAUGGAGAGAAGUUUGACAUUUCCAAAGAUCCUGAAACAGAGCUGGACACAGAGAAGCCAAAUGUGUCCGCAACAGAAGGAGAAAUGGAAGUCCCAGAGAACGGGAGUUCUGAUGAGAACAAACCUAGGAAAGGUUCGGAUCAGGAGGAUCAGGCAGAUGUGGAAAAGUUUGACUCUUCAAAGGAUUAUGCAGGAGAGCAGGACGCUGAGAAGAUCCUUGAACCAUCAGGAGAAGGUGGGUGGAUUUUUUCCAGCGUUUGCAGGUCGAAUACAUUCCAAUUAUAUAAUAACUUCUC
This 665-nucleotide long non-coding RNA is filed under the name Chrysemys picta bellii (western painted turtle). RNAcentral's name for it is "lncRNA (ENSCPBG00000013853.1)". Lineage: Eukaryota; Metazoa; Chordata; Testudines; Emydidae. The record is from RNAcentral.